Molecule: ribosomal RNA, 743 nt
Filed under: uncultured bacterium
Lineage: Bacteria
Description: bacterial SSU rRNA
Rfam family: Bacterial small subunit ribosomal RNA
Source: RNAcentral
UGGGGAUAACCUUGCGAAAGUAAGACUAAUACCCAAUGACGUCUCUAGAAGACAUCUGAAGGAGAUUAAAGAUUUAUCGGUGAUGGAUGGGGAUGCGUCUGAUUAGCUUGUUGGCGGGGUAACGGCCCACCAAGGCGACGAUCAGUAAGGGUUCUGAGAGGAGGGUCCCCCACAUUGGAACUGAGACACGGUCCAAACUCCUACGGGAGGCAGCAGUGAGGAAUAUUGGUCAAUGGGCGAGAGCCUGAACCAGCCAAGUAGCGUGCAGGAAGACGGCCCUAUGGGUUGUAAACUGCUUUUAUAAGGGAAUAAAGUGAGUCUCGUGAGACUUUUUGCAUGUACCUUAUGAAUAAGGACCGGCUAAUUCCGUGCCAGCAGCCGCGGUAAUACGGAAGGUCCGGGCGUUAUCCGGAUUUAUUGGGUUUAAAGGGAGCGUAGGCCGGAGAUUAAGCGUGUUGUGAAAUGUAGACGCUCAACGUCUGCACUGCAGCGCGAACUGGUUUCCUUGAGUACGCACAAAGUGGGCGGAAUUCGUGGUGUAGCGGUGAAAUGCUUAGAUAUCACGAAGAACUCCGAUUGCGAAGGCAGCUCACUGGAGCGCAACUGACGCUGAAGCUCGAAAGUGCGGGUAUCGAACAGGAUUAGAUACCCUGGUAGUCCGCACGGUAAACGAUGGAUGCCCGCUGUUGGUCUGAAUAGGUCAGCGGCCAAGCGAAAGCAUUAAGCAUCCCACCUGGGGAGUA